CCACAGCUGCUGUGCUGUUGUUUUUUUAGGUUUUGAUUUUUGUGAAAUGUCGAUGAGAAAAUCAAAACCUAAAGAAAAUACUGCGCAGAUAGAUGG
This is a non-coding RNA of Danio rerio (zebrafish), 96 nucleotides long. RefSeq annotates it as microRNA 737. Lineage: Eukaryota; Metazoa; Chordata; Actinopteri; Cypriniformes; Danionidae. The record is from RefSeq and is marked provisional.